CACUCCUACGGGAGGCAGCAGUGGGGAAUAUUGGACAAUGGGCGCAAGCCUGAUCCAGCCAUGCCGCGUGAGUGAUGAAGGCCCUAGGGUUGUAAAGCUCUUUCACCGGAGAAGAUAAUGACGGUAUCCGGAGAAGAAGCCCCGGCUAACUUCGUGCCAGCAGCCGCGGUAAUACGAAGGGGGCUAGCGUUGUUCGGAAUUACUGGGCGUAAAGCGCACGUAGGCGGAUCGAUCAGUCAGGGGUGAAAUCCCAGGGCUCAACCCUGGAACUGCCUUUGAUACUGUCGAUCUGGAGUAUGGAAGAGGUGAGUGGAAUUCCGAGUGUAGAGGUGAAAUUCGUAGAUAUUCGGAGGAACACCAGUGGCGAAGGCGGCUCACUGGUCCAUUACUGACGCUGAGGUGCGAAAGCGUGGGGAGCAAACAGGAUUAGAAACCCCAGUAGUCCCAUGAU
Molecule: ribosomal RNA, 451 nt
Filed under: uncultured organism
Description: partial 16S ribosomal RNA
Rfam family: Bacterial small subunit ribosomal RNA
Source: RNAcentral